RNAcentral lists this ribosomal RNA (497 nucleotides) under uncultured bacterium. RNAcentral's name for it is "partial 16S ribosomal RNA". It matches the Rfam family "Bacterial small subunit ribosomal RNA", at positions 28 to 507 of the family's 1533-position model. The record is from RNAcentral.
GAUGAACGCUGGCGGCGUGCCUAAUACAUGCAAGUCGAGCGAACGGACGAGAAGCUUGCUUCUCUGAUGUUAGCGGCGGACGGGUGAGUAACACGUGGAUAACCUACCUAUAAGACUGGGAUAACUUCGGGAAACCGGAGCUAAUACCGGAUGAUAUUUUGAACCGCAUGGUUCAAAAGUGAAAGACGGUCUUGCUGUCACUUAUAGAUGGAUCCGCGCUGCAUUAGCUAGUUGGUAAGGUAACGGCUUACCAAGGCAACGAUGCAUAGCCGACCUGAGAGGGUGAUCGGCCACACUGGAACUGAGACACGGUCCAGACUCCUACGGGAGGCAGAAGUAGGGAAUCUUCCGCAAUGGGCGAAAGACUGACGGAGCAACGCCGCGUGAGUGAUGAAGGUCUUCGGAUCGUAAAACUCUGUUAUUAGGGAAGAACAUAUGUGUAAGUAACUGUGCACAUCUUGACGGUACCUAAUCAGAAAGCAACGGCUAACUACGUG